This 253-nucleotide ribosomal RNA is filed under the name uncultured bacterium. RNAcentral's name for it is "partial 16S ribosomal RNA". It matches the Rfam family "Bacterial small subunit ribosomal RNA", at positions 524 to 776 of the family's 1533-position model. The record is from RNAcentral.
UACGGGGGGGGCAAGCGUUGUUCGGAAUUACUGGGCGUAAAGGGCUCGUAGGUGGCCAACUAAGUCAGACGUGAAAUCCCUCGGCUUAACCGGGGAACUGCGUCUGAUACUGGAUGGCUUGAGUUCGGGAGAGGGAUGCGGAAUUCCAGGUGUAGCGGUGAAAUUCGUAGAUAUUGGGAAGAACACCGGUGGCGAAGGCGGCGCUCUGGACCGAGACUGACGCUGAGGCGCGAAAGCGUGGGGAGCAAACAGG